Molecule: ribosomal RNA, 405 nt
Filed under: uncultured bacterium
Lineage: Bacteria
Description: bacterial SSU rRNA
Rfam family: Bacterial small subunit ribosomal RNA
Source: RNAcentral
UAAGGAAUCUUCCACAAUGGGCGCAAGCCUGAUGGAGCGACGCCGCGUGCGCGAAGAAGCCCUUCGGGGUGUAAAGCGCUUUUCCCAGGGAUGAAGUUCUGACAGUACCUGGGGAAGAAGCCUCGGCUAACUACGUGCCAGCAGCCGCGGUAAUACGUAGGAGGCAAGCGUUGUCCGGAAUUACUGGGCGUAAAGCGCGUGUAGGUGGUGGGACAAGUCUGCUGUGAAAGCGCCUGGCUUAACCGGGCGAGGUCGGCGGAAACUGUCACACUCGAGGACGGUAGAGGGGGGUGGAAUUCCCGGUGUAGUGGUGAAAUGCGUAGAGAUCGGGAGGAACACCUGUGGCGAAGGCGGCCCCCUGGGCCGGCCCUGACACUGAGACGCGAAGGCGUGGGGAGCGAACGG